RNAcentral lists this long non-coding RNA (241 nucleotides) under Medicago truncatula (barrel medic). RNAcentral's name for it is "long non-coding RNA (MTRU_LNC005601)". The record is from RNAcentral. Lineage: Eukaryota; Viridiplantae; Streptophyta; Magnoliopsida; Fabales; Fabaceae.
AACUUCAAUACUCACAUUCAUGUCUAACGUAUGUCGAAUUCAAUUUCACAUUAACUUCAUCAACCGACUCUAAUGCCUUGUUAAAUGAGGCUUGAUUUCACUAAAAAAAAAAAAAGAACUUAAAAGAUGAAAGAACGCAAACUCAUAUAUUCAUUCAAUAACCUGUAAACCUUGAUAAUACGUCACUCUAAAGUUUAAAAUUCAUCUUCACAUCUAGUAUGAAUUUCGAGUCCAAUUUUCA